Non-coding RNA from Misgurnus anguillicaudatus (oriental weatherfish), 1447 nucleotides. The record is from RefSeq and is a predicted model, not a curated record. Lineage: Eukaryota; Metazoa; Chordata; Actinopteri; Cypriniformes; Cobitidae.
UGAAAAAAAUGGACUUAGUGGGUCUUUGAAUUUAAAUAAAAUAAACAUGUAUAUGCAACACAAAAUAUUUAUAUUCCUUGUGUAAACAUAAUUUAAUUGAUUAGGAUUAAAAUGUUUUGUUUGAAUGUAAAAUGAACACAUUAUUCUCACAUUGAUUAAAAUUGAUUGAAUUGAAUACUUAAAACAAUAAAAUUGGGUUUGGACACAAAAUGGCACCUCCUGAGCAGCAGGGGCAGUAUAGCUCAUUGAGAAGGACAUCGAUUGCCAUAAAAGAAGAAUAAAGAUCGUUUUUUGGGCGCCAAAAUGAAGACUAAGCACAGCAGUCACUGCCAGUCAGUCAGAAGAACUCUCUCAGACGGACACCAUGUUAUUAAAGUCCAUCAUCCUUGCAUGCGCUACACACUCAAAAGCAUUGGUAAAUGCUGAAUUUGAAAGAAUCACUACUGUCUUAUGUUCCUGCGUGUCACCUGGACCUCCAAUCCAAAAACCUGAUGAAACUCUUCUAUCAGAAAGGAGGACAGCUAGCAAAAAGGCUUCAAACAAUCAAUGAUCAAAUGACAGAAGGCAUGGAUGAAGUCAGCAUCAGUGUGGUCAUUUGAAGACACCAAUGUUGGGAUUUGUGCUCUCAAACAACCUGCUUCUUGUGAUGAAGAAGAGGAUCUUUGUAUAGUCCUGGAAGGCAUGAAGGUGUUGCAACAUCGUGCCAUGUUGUUUGAGCUGAUGUAUUCCUUAAACCUGAGCUAUCCUGAUCUCCGCUUUAUUUUUGAGGAAAUCCAAAAGAUUUUAAUGGAACUGCAUUGAGAGUAACUUUAACGAACAGUUUCUUUCAGUGAAAGGAUCAGAAAGACUGUGCUGCUCAUUUUUCAGAAAGACUGUGCUGCUCAUUUUUGACUUUGUUUAUCUGUUUUAAGUGUUUUCUCUUAUUAAUACAUUAACCGUUUGCUGCUCAGAGUCGAUUUUGGAAAUGGUUGUUGUAUUUUGUUUUUGUUGAAUCUUUGAUUAACAGUUUAUACAAAUGCUGUAGCUCUGACUUUCUGAAGGAUUGAUAUUUUCCAGUUUGUAAAUCCAUUUUAAAAAUAAUAGUACUUACUGUUUUGCAUGUCUCUUUGGAAUGCAGUGUUUGUGUUUUAGCACUUCUAAAUCUACUGUGAUAGUAACUAUUUUAAACAUUUGGGUCAGUUUCAUCCUAAUAUAACUAGGGCCUAGUCAUGAAUUAAUCUACAACCUGUUUGGGAAAUUGCCCCUUUAUGUAUGUACUGCAUGUGCUGAUUGUUGUAAUAGUUAUUGACUGUUAAUGAAUUAAUGUGUAGUGAUUUAAAUGAAUUGAUGAUCUGAAAGCAGUGGUUUGCCUCAAUAUCACUAAACAUUUGUACAAAACUCUUCACUUUUUAUGCCAAUGCAAAUGUAUUUUGUAUUUAAAAAGAAAUAAAUAACAUUUGGAUAAUUA